This 325-nucleotide ribosomal RNA is filed under the name uncultured eukaryote. RNAcentral's name for it is "partial 18S ribosomal RNA". It matches the Rfam family "Eukaryotic small subunit ribosomal RNA", at positions 1470 to 1796 of the family's 1831-position model. The record is from RNAcentral.
CCCUUAGAUGUUCUGGGCCGCACGCGCGCUACACUGAUGCAUUCAACGAGCCUAUCCUUGACCGACAGGUCCGGGUAAUCUUUGAAUCUGCAUCGUGACGGGGAUAGAUUAUUGCAAUUAUUAAUCUUCAACGAGGAAUGCCUAGUAGGCGCAAGUCAUCAGCUUGCGUCGAUUACGUCCCUGCCCUUUGUACACACCGCCCGUCGCUCCUACCGAUUGGGUGUGCUGGUGAAAUGUUCGGAUCGGCCGUUUGUCGCGGUUUCCGCGUCAUGUGGCUGAGAAGUUCAUUAAACCCUCCCACCUAGAGGAAGGAGGAGUCGUAACA